This 732-nucleotide ribosomal RNA is filed under the name uncultured bacterium. RNAcentral describes it as "bacterial SSU rRNA". It matches the Rfam family "Bacterial small subunit ribosomal RNA", at positions 771 to 1501 of the family's 1533-position model. The record is from RNAcentral.
AACAGGAUUAGAUACCCUGGUAGUCCACGCCGUAAACGAUGAUAACUAGCUGUCCGGGGACUUGGUCUUUGGGUGGCGCAGCUAACGCAUUAAGUUAUCCGCCUGGGGAGUACGGCCGCAAGGUUAAAACUCAAAUGAAUUGACGGGGGCCUACACAAGCGGUGGAGCAUGUGGUUUAAUCCGAAGCAACGCGCAGAACCUUACCAGCGUUUGACAUGUCCGGACGAUUUCCAGAGAUGGAUCUCUUCCCUUCGGGGACUGGAACACAGGUGCUGCAUGGCUGUCGUCAGCUCGUGUCGUGAGAUGUUGGGUUAAGUCCCGCAACGAGCGCAACCCUCGCCUUUAGUUACCAUCAUUCAGUUGGGGACUCUAAAGGAACCGCCGGUGAUAAGCCGGAGGAAGGUGGGGAUGACGUCAAGUCCUCAUGGCCCUUACGCGCUGGGCUACACACGUGCUACAAUGGCGGUGACAGUGGGCAGCAAACUCGCGAGAGUGCGCUAAUCUCCAAAGGCCGUCUCAGUUCGGAUUGUUCUCUGCAACUCGAGAGCAUGAAGGCGGAAUCGCUAGUAAUCGCGGAUCAGCAUGCCGCGGUGAAUACGUUCCCAGGCCUUGUACACACCGCCCGUCACACCAUGGGAGUUGGGUUCACCCGAAGGCGUUGCGCUAACUCGCAAGAGAGGCAGGCGACCACGGUGGGCUUAGCGACUGGGGUGAAGUCGUAACAAGGUAACC